CCUCUCCCCUUGUCCCUCCCUCUCCCCUUCCCCUUGUUCCUUUCCCCCUCCCCCCUCCUCCUCUUCCUCUCUCAUACACACAUUAACCUAGAACUCGCCCACUAGGCCAUACUUGUCAGCGAUACACUCCUGCCUCUGUCUCCCCAGCACACGAAUGCCACCACACCUGGCUUUUUUUUUAAUUUACAUGAACGAUGUGGACCCCCUCAUCACGAGUCAUCCAUACAGACAGAAAAGGACGUGGUGGGUUCAGAAGCACAUGUGGCAUCCCAGCUGCCAUGCGUUAAGGCAAACCCUAAAAGGAGUGUGAGGGGCUGAGAGCGUUCCACGGUUAACUGCUCUCUCAGACUAAGUGAGUUCCGUUCAGGCAUGGUUCACAACCACCUGUAACUCCUGUUCCAGGGGCUCUGACAUUCUCUUCUGCCCUCUGUAGGCACCGGCAUUCAUGUCUAUACGCCCAAGCAGACAUACAUACAUCAUUAGAAUUUUUAUUUAUCUUUUUUUUUUUUUUAAAAAAAGCUACAUUUUGAAGAAGAAAGCCCGAAAUGAUGUAAAAUGAAACUUUCGUUUUGGAAAAUAAGUGCUAUUUAUAAAAACGUCAGUACUCAUGAGGCAAUGGUGCUUUCAGACAGCUUGAAUUCCGGCAUGAAAGGUGAAUUAUUUUCCCCUAACACCCCCGAGGACCAAUGUUCUUAGGAAAUAAUUUUGAGAAUAGCUCAUGUAGCCUGGGUUGGCCCAAGGGCACAGAUAUUAGGAAUCAUCUUUCAGAACAUUCCUUGAGGAUCUUCUAGAAAACUUCCACUAUCCCUUCAUAAACAGGACAGUUGGCUCAAAAGACCAAAGAAAAUAUCCCGCACACAUCUGGAUGAAGACAGGAGCUGGGGGGUAGGGGUGGGGAGAGGGCAGGCUGGUCGCGUGGUUCCUGGCUUCCAGGGUACUCUUCAAAAGUCUCCUUAUCCAUCACUGGCAUCGUUAUUCGCAAAGGGAAUGAAGUCUUUCUUCCUGAACCCAAAAGUAGACAACCUUGAGGACCAAGACAAGCUGAGUUCUGACACCUGGCUGCCAUCCAGAAACAUCAAUUUUUGGAUGUUAUGGAGACUUCGUUCUCCAGAUGGUGACAGGGAUGUGACUGUCCAUUCCAGAUCUCCCUUGGGCAGCGCGCAGCUGCCCGUGUGUGCCACGCAUGCCCGGAAGCCAUGUUCGUGCAAGCCACAAGAGAAGCCGAAAGUUAAAAAAAAUAAAUAAAUACUUUCUCUGCCCUCGAA
Mastomys coucha (southern multimammate mouse) is the source of this 1265-nucleotide long non-coding RNA. RefSeq lists it as uncharacterized. The record is from RefSeq and is a predicted model, not a curated record. Lineage: Eukaryota; Metazoa; Chordata; Mammalia; Rodentia; Muridae. The transcript is spliced from 2 exons.